GGGUCUGGGGGGUCUGGGGGGUCUUCAGGGGGUCUCAGGAGGUUCCUGCUCGGUCUGAGGGACUGAGGGUUCUCCAUCGUGUUGUUCAGUAGAAACAUUUCAAUAGAAGAACCAGGAGGGGGCGGAGCUUGGCUUCAUGGUGCUUCUGCUAAAACUAGUUUGAACCAGCAGGAAACGGCGGUUUACCAGACCAGGUUAACCUGUUUUAGACCAGUUCAGACUGGGUUAAAACCAGGUUAACCUGCUUUAAACCAGGUUUAGACCAGGUUAACCUACCUAAACCGGGUUUAAAUCAGGUUAACCUACCUAAACCAGGUUUAGACCAGGUUAAUCUACCUAAACCAGGUUUAGACCAGGUUAACCUACCUAAACUGGGGUUAGACCAGGUUAACCUACCUAAACCGGGUUCAGACCAGGUCAACCUACCUAAACCGGGUUCAGACCAGGUUAACCUACCUAAACCGGGUUCAGACCAGGUUAAUCUACCUAAACUGGGUUUAGACCAGGUUAACCUACCUAAACCAGGUUUAGACCAGGUUAAUCUACCUAAACCGGGUUCAGACCAGGUUAACCUACCUAAACUGGGUUCAGACCAGGUUAACCUACCUAAACUGGGUUUAGACCAGGUUAACCUACCUAAACCGGGUUCAGACCAGGUUAAUCUACCUAAACCGGGUUCAGACCAGGUUAACCUACCUAAACCGGGUUCAGACCAGGUUAACCUACCUAAACUGGGUUUAGACCAGGUUAAUCUACCUAAACCGGGUUUAGACCAGGUUAACCCACCUAAACCGGGUUUAGACCGGUGUUGUAAACUGUGCUGUGUAAAUAAAGCUGGAUUGAACUGGA
This is a long non-coding RNA of Salarias fasciatus (jewelled blenny), 849 nucleotides long. RefSeq lists it as uncharacterized. The transcript is spliced from 2 exons. The record is from RefSeq and is a predicted model, not a curated record. NCBI's taxonomy places the organism in Eukaryota, Metazoa, Chordata, Actinopteri, Blenniiformes, Blenniidae.